UACGGUGCUGAAGCAACAAAUGCCCUGCUUCCAGGAAAAGCCUCUAAGCAUCAGGUAACAUCAAAUCGUACCCCAAACCGACACAGGUGGUCAGGUAGAGAAUACCAAGGCGCUUGAGAGAACUCGGGUGAAGGAACUAGGCAAAAUGGUGCCGUAACUUCGGGAGAAGGCACGCUGACACGUAGGUGAAGUGAUUUACUCAUGGAGCUGAAGUCAGUCGAAGAUACCAGCUGGCUGCAACUGUUUAUUAAAAACACAGCACUGUGCAAACACGAAAGUGGACGUAUACGGUGUGACGCCUGCCCGGUGCCGGAAGGUUAAUUGAUGGGGUCAGCGCAAGCGAAGCUCCUGAUCGAAGCCCCGGUAAACGGCGGCCGUAACUAUAACGGUCCUAAGGUAGCGAAAUUCCUUGUCGGGUAAGUUCCGACCUGCACGAAUGGCGUAAUGAUGGCCAGGCUGUCUCCACCCGAGACUCAGUGAAAUUGAACUCGCUGUGAAGAUGCAGUGUACCCGCGGCAAGACGGAAAGACCCCGUGAACCUUUACUAUAGCUUGACACUGAACAUUGAGCCUUGAUGUGUAGGAUAGGUGGGAGGCUUUGAAGUGUGGACGCCAGUCUGCAUGGAGCCGACCUUGAAAUACCACCCUUUAAUGUUUGAUGUUCUAACGUGGACCCGUUACCCGGGUUGCGGACAGUGUCUGGUGGGUAGUUUGACUGGGGCGGUCUCCUCCUAAAGAGUAACGGAGGAGCACGAAGGUUGGCUAAUCCUGGUCGGACAUCAGGAGGUUAGUGCAAUGGCAUAAGCCAGCUUGACUGCGAGCGUGACGGCGCGAGCAGGUGCGAAAGCAGGUCAUAGUGAUCCGGUGGUUCUGAAUGGAAGGGCCAUCGCUCAACGGAUAAAAGGUACUCCGGGGAUAACAGGCUGAUACCGCCCAAGAGUUCAUAUCGACGGCGGUGUUUGGCACCUCGAUGUCGGCUCAUCACAUCCUGGGGCUGAAGUAGGUCCCAAGGGUAUGGCUGUUCGCCAUUUAAAGUGGUACGCGAGCUGGGUUUAGAACGUCGUGAGACAGUUCGGUCCCUAUCUGCCGUGGGCGCUGGAGAACUGAGGGGGGCUGCUCCUAGUACGAGAGGACCGGAGUGGACGCAUCACUGGUGUUCGGGUUGUCAUGCCAAUGGCACUGCCCGGUAGCUAAAUGCGGAAGAGAUAAGUGCUGAAAGCAUCUAAGCACGAAACUUGCCCCGAGAUGAGUUCUCCCUGAGACUUUAGGUCUCCUGAAGGAACGUUGAAGACGACGACGUUGAUAGGCCGGGUGUGUAAGCGCAGCGAUGCGUUGAGCUAACCGGUACUAAUGAACCGUGAGGCUUAACCUUACAACGCCGAAG
RNAcentral lists this ribosomal RNA (1383 nucleotides) under Salmonella enterica subsp. enterica serovar Enteritidis. RNAcentral describes it as "partial 23S ribosomal RNA". It matches the Rfam family "Bacterial large subunit ribosomal RNA", at positions 1578 to 2925 of the family's 2925-position model. Lineage: Bacteria; Pseudomonadati; Pseudomonadota; Gammaproteobacteria; Enterobacterales; Enterobacteriaceae. The record is from RNAcentral.